UUUAACUUGUAUGUUUUAUUCUGUUUUGUUAUAUAUUUUAGUCCAUAAUACUUAUGUUUUGAGAUCUUUUUUUCUCUCCUUGCAGUCAUGGGUCAUAGAAAAAGAUCAAAAGUGGAUAUUUCUAGUGAAUCUAACAGUGACAAUGAUUGUAGUUUGAGUUCUGAUAAUCAUGAUGGUGAUGUUCAUUUAUCUAAUCAUGAUGAAAGUUCUGAUAAUCAUGACCAACAUUUUGAGGAAAAUGAUCCUUUGCUUCAUUUAACUAAAGAAGAGCUUAUGAAGAAAUUGAAAAUAAAGCUUGGUAAAAGGCCAUUUACAGAUGACCAUAAAAAGAAGAGACAUAAAGUUGAAUCAGACUCAAUUAUCGAUGAUGCAUUGUUAGAGAUUCACAAUGAUCUAGUUCUCCAUUCUUUGAAAAUGAAAUUAAGCAUGCUUGGUGAACAGUCUAAAAAUAAGAGAAAAACCUUUGAGAAAGAUAACCAACAAGGGUGUGUUCUGACUGAUUGCAAAUUAUUGUUUUAUAUGAUCAUGAUCUUUAAUUUUUUAUAGUUUUUGAUAUGCUAUGGGAUAAGCUUGACACUUUUAUAUUUACUUGCUGAACAUUUAGCUGUGAUUGAAUGCUUGUGCAAGCAUGUGCUGCUCCAUGUUAGAAUGUCUGCAUACAUUUUUUUUCUUGCAAAAUAAACUGUAACUUUAAAUAUUUUUUCAUGUAAUUUUUUUCAGUUUCUUCAUAUAUGUAAGUUUUGUACUGUUACUGCAGUCAAGAAGCUGUUAAUAUUGAUGGAGUUCACUGCAAAUUCUCAUCUUUUGGUUCUUCAUUCAAACAAGGUGGAGAAUUAUCAAAUUUUGUAAUGUUUGUGUUCUGUCGAUAUAUGUUUAAAUCGAUUCAUCCUUCAAAAUCCAAAAGACACUAUUUCUUCUCUUCAAUUGGGAAUGAUCUUAUGAAACACCCUUCAAAAACUAAUUUUGGAAUGGUCCAAAAGAGUUUUUCUAGAGCAUCACUUGCUAGACCAAUUGAGAUAUGUGACAUGGUAUGUACUUAUGUAAUGUUUAAUUGAAUUAGUUUAUAUUAGAUUUCUCUGUUUUUACAUUUGUUUUUAUUGUAUCAUUUUUUCAGCUGUUUUUCCCAAUAUUGCAUUUGAGGCAUUGGUUUCUGUUUGUUGUUGAUUUGAAAGAUGAGAGUUUUGUUUUCAUUGACUCCUUAUUUGAAGAAGAAGAAGACUAUCAAUACAAUGCUAGAUGCAGAUUGGUAUGAUUUUUUUUUUGCAAAUUAUUAUAUGUAUAGAAUAAUUUAUUUUUAUGAUUGUUUCAUUUUGUCAGAUAUCAAAAUUUUCAAUUGUAUGGAGGAAAUUUGUCUCUGAACAUCCAAUUAACUUUGCUAGUUUCAAGAUAAUAUACCCACCUCGUCCAAGACAAACAAAUCGCCUUGAUUGUGGUAUUUUUACUCUGAAAUUCAUGGAAAUUUGGCGUCCAAGAGUUCUGCUAACCAACCAGUUCUCUCAAAAAGACAUUCCUAACAUAAGGAUUCAAUAUGUCAACAAGUUGUUUUUCCAUCCAUGCAACAUUAUGCUGAACUCUGCAACAAAGAAACUUGUUACUGACUAUUAUGCAAAGGGCUGAUUUGAUUCAACAGGAAUACUUUGAAAACCAAGAUUACUUUAGCUCAACAGUUUAUAGUAGAUUUGUAUAGAUACAAUUUCUGUGCCAUAUUGUAACUAUUACAGUAAGAUAACAACUUGAAAGGUCACAUCACAAAAGGUACCAAACUUCA
Oryza sativa Japonica Group (Japanese rice) is the source of this 1768-nucleotide non-coding RNA. NCBI's taxonomy places the organism in Eukaryota, Viridiplantae, Streptophyta, Magnoliopsida, Poales, Poaceae. The record is from RefSeq and is a predicted model, not a curated record.